UGACGGUACCAGAUGAAUAAGCACCGGCUAACUCCGUGCCAGCAGCCGCGGUAAUACGGAGGGUGCAAGCGUUAUCCGGAUUCACUGGGUUUAAAGGGUGCGUAGGCGGAUUUGUAAGUCCGCGGUGAAAUCUCCAAGCUUAACUUGGAAACUGCCGUGGAUACUAUAAUUCUUGAAUGUUGUGGAGGUUAGCGGAAUAUGUCAUGUAGCGGUGAAAUGCUUAGAUAUGACAUAGAACACCAAUUGCGAAGGCAGCUGGCUACACAAAUAUUGACGCUGAGGCACGAAAGCGUGGGGAUCAAACAGGAUUAGAUACCCUGGUAGUCCACGCCCUAAACUAUGGAUACUCGACAUUUGCGAUACACAGCAUGUGUCUGAGCGAAAGCAUUAAGUAUCCCACCUGGGAAGUACGACCGCAAGGUUGAAACUCAG
RNAcentral lists this ribosomal RNA (432 nucleotides) under uncultured Chitinophaga sp. Its description in RNAcentral is "bacterial SSU rRNA". It matches the Rfam family "Bacterial small subunit ribosomal RNA", at positions 470 to 904 of the family's 1533-position model. Lineage: Bacteria; Pseudomonadati; Bacteroidota; Chitinophagia; Chitinophagales; Chitinophagaceae. The record is from RNAcentral.